RNAcentral lists this ribosomal RNA (520 nucleotides) under uncultured Glomus. RNAcentral's name for it is "SSU rRNA". It matches the Rfam family "Eukaryotic small subunit ribosomal RNA", at positions 569 to 1090 of the family's 1831-position model. Lineage: Eukaryota; Fungi; Glomeromycota; Glomeromycetes; Glomerales; Glomeraceae. The record is from RNAcentral.
AGCAGCCGCGGUAAUUCCAGCUCCAAUAGCGUAUAUUAAAGUUGCUGCAGUUAAAAAGCUCGUAGUUGAAUUUCGGGGUCAAUAUGUUGGUCGUGCCUUGGUACGUACUAGCUUAUUGAUUUCUCCUUUCUGACGAACCAUGAUGUCAUUAAUUUGGUGUCAUGGGGAAUCAGGACUGUUACUUUGAAAAAAUUAGAGUGUUUAAAGCAGGCUCACGCUUGAAUACAUUAGCAUGGAAUAAUGAAAUAGGACGUUUGACUCUAUUUUGUUGGUUUCUAGGAUCGACGUAAUGAUUAAUAGGGAUAGUUGGGGGGCAUUAGUAUUCAAUUGUCAGAGGUGAAAUUCUUGGAUUUAUUGAAGACUAACUACUGCGAAAGCAUUUGCCAAGGAUGUUUUCAUUAAUCAAGAACGAAAGUUAGGGGAUCGAAGACGAUCAGAUACCGUCGUAGUCUUAACCAUAAACUAUGCCGACUAGGGAUCGGGAUGAUGUUAAUUUUUUAAUGACUCAUUCGGCGCCUUA